Molecule: ribosomal RNA, 273 nt
Filed under: uncultured bacterium
Lineage: Bacteria
Description: partial 16S ribosomal RNA
Rfam family: Bacterial small subunit ribosomal RNA
Source: RNAcentral
UACGGAGGGAGCUAGCGUUAUUCGGAAUUACUGGGCGUAAAGCGCACGUAGGCGGCUUUGUAAGUAAGAGGUGAAAGCCUGGUGCUCAACACCAGAACUGCCUUUUAGACUGCAUCGCUUGAAUCCAGGAGAGGUGAGUGGAAUUCCGAGUGUAGAGGUGAAAUUCGUAGAUAUUCGGAAGAACACCAGUGGCGAAGGCGGCUCACUGGACUGGUAUUGACGCUGAGGUGCGAAAGCGUGGGGAGCAAACAGGAUUAGAUACCCCGGUAGUCC